This 90-nucleotide transfer RNA is filed under the name Roseovarius sp. Its description in RNAcentral is "tRNA-Ser". It matches the Rfam family "tRNA". From Rfam's summary of the family: Transfer RNA (tRNA) molecules are approximately 80 nucleotides in length. Their secondary structure includes four short double-helical elements and three loops (D, anti-codon, and T loops). Further hydrogen bonds mediate the characteristic L-shaped molecular structure. tRNAs have two regions of fundamental functional importance: the anti-codon, which is responsible for specific mRNA codon recognition, and the 3' end, to which the tRNAs corresponding amino acid is attached (by aminoacyl-tRNA synthetases). tRNAs cope with the degeneracy of the genetic code in two manners: having more than one tRNA (with a specific anti-codon) for a particular amino acid; and 'wobble' base-pairing, i.e. permitting non-standard base-pairing at the 3rd anti-codon position. The record is from RNAcentral. RNAcentral also lists the same sequence under 4 other names. Lineage: Bacteria; Pseudomonadati; Pseudomonadota; Alphaproteobacteria; Rhodobacterales; Roseobacteraceae.
GGAGGAGUGGCAGAGUGGUCGAAUGCACCGGUCUUGAAAACCGGCGUACGUGAAAGCGUACCGUGGGUUCGAAUCCCACCUCCUCCGCCA